RNAcentral lists this ribosomal RNA (500 nucleotides) under uncultured bacterium. RNAcentral describes it as "partial 16S ribosomal RNA". It matches the Rfam family "Bacterial small subunit ribosomal RNA", at positions 30 to 523 of the family's 1533-position model. The record is from RNAcentral.
AUUGAACGCUGGCGGCAUGCCUUACACAUGCAAGUCGAACGGCAGCGGGGGCUUCGGUCCGCCGGCGAGUGGCGAACGGGUGAGUAAUGUAUCGGAACGUACCUUUCAGUGGGGGAUAACGUAGCGAAAGUUACGCUAAUACCGCAUAUUCUGUGAGCAGGAAAGCAGGGGAUCGCAAGACCUUGCGCUGAUUGAGCGGCCGAUAUCAGAUUAGCUAGUUGGUGGGGUAAAGGCCUACCAAGGCGACGAUCGGUAGCUGGUCUGAGAGGAUGAUCAGCCACACUGGAACUGAGACACGGUCCAGACUCCUACGGGAGGCAGCAGUGGGGAAUAUUGGACAAUGGGCGCAAGCCUGAGCCAGCCAUGCCGCGUGUGUGAAGAAGGCCUUCGGGUUGUAAAGCACUUUUGUCCGGGAAGAAAAGCCAGGGAUUAAUACUCCCGGGUUCUGACGGUACCGGAAGAAUAAGCACCGGCUAACUACGUGCCAGCCGCCGCCGUAA